Molecule: ribosomal RNA, 120 nt
Filed under: Carassius auratus (goldfish)
Lineage: Eukaryota; Metazoa; Chordata; Actinopteri; Cypriniformes; Cyprinidae
Source: RNAcentral
GCUUGUGACCAUAACAACCCUGGCUAUGCAUGAUCUCGUCUGCUCUCGGAAGCUAAGCAGGUUUGGGCCUGGUUGGUACUUAGAUGGGAGACUGCCUGGGAAUACCAGGUGCUUUAAGCU